Molecule: long non-coding RNA, 1149 nt
Filed under: Hordeum vulgare
Lineage: Eukaryota; Viridiplantae; Streptophyta; Magnoliopsida; Poales; Poaceae
Description: long non-coding RNA (HVUL_LNC001892)
Source: RNAcentral
UUGUGGCCUGCAUAUGUGUAUAGUGUGGCUUAUCCACACUUGCAAUUCUGGAGGCCAUGGUUGCCACUCAUGUUGCAACCCUUCUUCGAGCAGCACACACAUCUCGACGUCCUCUAUAUCAUCACCUACCGGCACCAGCGAGAACAUAUGCAUUGUCCUGUUGUUGUCUUCGUCGAAGCAUUCUAUCAAGCACUUGUUGAGCAUUUGCUUGCCAAGCUCAAGAGUGGCGGACGACUGCAAUGGUAGAAUCAACAAAUGCUCCAAAAGACUAGUUAUAGCCGCAGACAACGCCCCCUGGUAUGGAACACAUCGACACUAUUGAUGCCUUGGCCAGGAUAAUGCUCGAACAAGUGGUGGUUAUCAGCAUGUCGAACUCCAGGUCACUGCAUGGCUGAAGCGCGUUGUCCAGGGAAGGCUCCAUGGAUAUCAUGAGAGGGGCAAGCGCAGUGAGUGUUGAUUGCACCUCACUUUUUAUAGGAGUCAACAUCAUCAUAGGCUUGACAACCUCGGCAUUGGAAACCGAACAUCACCAAAUCCAUGGAUACAAGUGUUCCUGGUGUAUGAAUUAAAGCACCAAACCAUGGUUCACAAAGGAACUACAAUCCAUAGAAGAGAAUCAAGGAUGGGAAAAGCAUAGAAUCAAGGUGUGCAACAAGAGAGAAUGAGGGAGAAGGGAUACACUCGUCUGGUACGAGGGAGGUGUGCAGCAAGAGAGAAUUAGGGAGAAGGGAUAAACUCGUCUGGUAUGAGGGAGGGAGGAGCUGUAGGAGGAAGAAGGCCAAGCCAAUUCUACUCUGUUUGAUGCCUCCGAUUCUAUUUUAUUCGAUGCCUCCCCUCUGCAGAGGUCUUGCUUUAAGGCUUGAUCCGUUCGGCCAAACCCAUGUACAAGCAGCCUACAAAUCUAAUGCGGCUCAGUGAAUACGUAGGGAGUUAUAGGAGGGUUGUUUGAAAUCUUUAUGUAAAAUUUAGCUUCAUGUUUCUCCUUUAAUGUGUGAGCUCGAUGAUUACGAUUAAAGAGGCUUUAAACUUUAAACAAGUCACAAUAUUUUCCCCUGAAAGAAAAUUAUAAAUGCAUGAUCGUAAAAACUUUUCACGAAAGAAUCACGGUAACGGGGCAGCAAACAGUGACGGGGCCUCUGUUGUCAAAAC